This 294-nucleotide ribosomal RNA is filed under the name Brevibacterium luteolum. RNAcentral describes it as "partial 16S ribosomal RNA". It matches the Rfam family "Bacterial small subunit ribosomal RNA", at positions 499 to 792 of the family's 1533-position model. Lineage: Bacteria; Bacillati; Actinomycetota; Actinomycetes; Micrococcales; Brevibacteriaceae. The record is from RNAcentral.
UAAUAUAUUUUCACAGCCGCGGUAAUACGUAGGGUACAAGCGUUGUCCGGAAUUAUUGGGCGUAAAGAGCUUGUAGGUGGUUGGUCACGUCUGCUGUGGAAACGCAACGCUUAACGUUGCGCGUGCAGUGGGUACGGGCUGACUAGAGUGCAGUAGGGGAGUGUGGAAUUCCUGGUGUAGCGGUGAAAUUCGCAGAUAUCAGGAGGAACACCGGUGGCGAAGGCGGGACUCUGGCCACUAACUGACCCUGAGGAGCGAAAGCAUGGGGAGCGAACAGGAUUAGAUACCCUUGUU